Molecule: small nuclear RNA, 20 nt
Filed under: Arabidopsis thaliana (thale cress)
Lineage: Eukaryota; Viridiplantae; Streptophyta; Magnoliopsida; Brassicales; Brassicaceae
Description: snRNA_17263
Source: RNAcentral
CGGUGCCCAACUGCGCGCUA